GCCGGGCGCCAUGGCAGGUGCCUACAGUCCCAGCUACUCAGGAGGCUGAGGCUGGAGGAUCGCUUGAGCCCAGGUGUUCUGGGCUGUAGUGUGCUAUGCUGAUCAGGUGUCUGCGGUAAGUUUGGCAUCAAUAUGGUGGCGUCCCGGGAGUGGGGGACCACCAGGUUGCCUAAGGAGGGGUGAACUGGCCCAGGUCAGAAAAGGAGCAGGUCAAAACUCCUGUGCUGGUCAGUAGUGGGAUCUCGCCUGUGAAUAGCCACGGCACUCCAGCCUGGGCAACAUAGCGAGACCCCCAUCUCUU
This is an unclassified non-coding RNA of Callithrix jacchus (white-tufted-ear marmoset), 301 nucleotides long. It matches the Rfam family "Metazoan signal recognition particle RNA". From Rfam's summary of the family: The signal recognition particle (SRP) is a universally conserved ribonucleoprotein. It is involved in the co-translational targeting of proteins to membranes. Lineage: Eukaryota; Metazoa; Chordata; Mammalia; Primates; Cebidae. The record is from Ensembl.